GAGGGGUGCAAACGUUAUUCGGAUUAACUGGGCGUAAAGAGUGUGUAGACGGAACAUUAAGUUCGCUGUUAAAUCUUUCGGCUUAACCGAAAGCUUGCGGUGAAAACUAAUGAUCUUGAGGGUGAAAGAGAGAAGUGGAAUUCUCGGAGUAGCGGUAAAAUGCGUAGAUCUCGAGAGGAACACCGAUGGCGAAGGCAGCUUCUUGGUUCACUUCUGACGUUGAGACACGAAAGCGUGGGUAGCAAACAGGAUUAGAUACCCUGGUAGUCCGCGCCGUAAACGAUGAUCACUGGAUGUCAGCUUUGCUUAGCAGAGUUGGUAUCGAAGCUAACGCGUUAAGUGAUCCGCCUGGGAAUUACGGUCGCAAGAUUA
This 372-nucleotide ribosomal RNA is filed under the name uncultured organism. RNAcentral's name for it is "partial 16S ribosomal RNA". It matches the Rfam family "Bacterial small subunit ribosomal RNA", at positions 527 to 896 of the family's 1533-position model. The record is from RNAcentral.